Molecule: long non-coding RNA, 210 nt
Filed under: Jatropha curcas
Lineage: Eukaryota; Viridiplantae; Streptophyta; Magnoliopsida; Malpighiales; Euphorbiaceae
Description: long non-coding RNA (JCUR_LNC003530)
Source: RNAcentral
UAGCUUGUAUUCUGUUACCUCGGUUUUUUAUUUAGUCCCCCUUAAAUUCCCUGUUCCUUGAACACUAAAGGAAAUGGUGCUAGAAAAUCGUCUCCCUUCCUUAAUUCAUUAUGGACAAAAACUUCAUCCAGUGAAUUGACGCACAAACACCCAGCUAUGCACUAAGUCAAUACAACUCAAGGACACAAAUUCAGCACCUAAAAACUCUCA